UACAUAGGUCCCGAGCGUUGUCCGGAUUUAUUGGGCGUAAAGCGAGCGCAGGUGGUUUAUUAAGUCUGGUGUAAAAGGCAGUGGCUCAACCAUUGUAUGCAUUGGAAACUGGUAGACUUGAGUGCAGGAGAGGAGAGUGGAAUUCCAUGUGUAGCGGUGAAAUGCGUAGAUAUAUGAAGGAACACCGGUGGCGAAAGCGGCUCUCUGGCCUGUAACUGACACUGAGGCUCGAAAGCGUGGGGAGCAAACAGG
Molecule: ribosomal RNA, 252 nt
Filed under: uncultured bacterium
Lineage: Bacteria
Description: partial 16S ribosomal RNA
Rfam family: Bacterial small subunit ribosomal RNA
Source: RNAcentral